GACGAACGCUGGCGGCGUGCUUAACACAUGCAAGUCGAACGGAAAGGCCCUGCUUUUGUGGGGUGCUCGAGUGGCGAACGGGUGAGUAACACGUGAGUAACCUGCCCUUGACUUUGGGAUAACUUCAGGAAACUGGGGCUAAUACCGGAUAGGAGCUCCUGCUGCAUGGUGGGGGUUGGAAAGUUUCGGCGGUUGGGGAUGGACUCGCGGCUUAUCAGCUUGUUGGUGGGGUAGUGGCUUACCAAGGCUUUGACGGGUAGCCGGCCUGAGAGGGUGACCGGCCACAUUGGGACUGAGAUACGGGCCAGACUCCUACGGGAGGCAGCAGUUGGGAAUAUUGCACAAUGGGCGGAAGCCUGAUGCAGCAACGGCGCGUGCGGGAUGACGGCCUUCGGGUUGUAAACCGCUUUCGCCUGUGACGAAGCGUGAGUGACGGUAAUGGGUAAAGAAGCACCGGCUAACUACGUG
This 468-nucleotide ribosomal RNA is filed under the name uncultured bacterium. Its description in RNAcentral is "partial 16S ribosomal RNA". It matches the Rfam family "Bacterial small subunit ribosomal RNA", at positions 28 to 507 of the family's 1533-position model. The record is from RNAcentral.